RNAcentral lists this long non-coding RNA (1203 nucleotides) under Cricetulus griseus (Chinese hamster). RNAcentral describes it as "lncRNA (ENSCGRG00015036699.1)". The record is from RNAcentral. Lineage: Eukaryota; Metazoa; Chordata; Mammalia; Rodentia; Cricetidae.
GGAAGCUGUAGCCAUGCCUACUUAGGGGCUGGCUGCAGGUGUGCCUUGACCACGCUUGCGAGGGCGUGGUCAGGGUGACGUAGAGUGAUACUUUCAGGGGACUGCGUUUCUCUUUCGGUUUCACUUUUGUACUUGCUGGACAGACUGCUGCCACGCCGGCUGGCUAGGUUGCUCUGUAAGUAAGGCUUUUCCCUAUUAAAUGCCCUUGUAUUUCUACCUGACUCCGUAUUGGUAAUUUCCCACUUUAUCUGGUUGUCAGGAGCAGGAUAUUGGAAACCUACACCCCAUUUGGAACAGGCUGUGGGGUGCACCAGGCCUACAGACUAGGCGGGGAAAGGUCCCUCUCUUCACAGGUGCUCCCAUCUCCCAGCCAACCCGCUGCCGCUGAGCUGCUCCCAGCUUGGAGACUCACACAGACCUCCUAUGGUUUUACCACCGUGCGAUCGGGACCAGCUUGGACUGCAGCCUACCCACGCCUGGAGGCUUCCAACCCUUGAACCGACUGCCACCCACCACUGCCAAAUGCCGCAGACUAACUGAACACCUGUGCCACCCACUGGUCAAAGAUAGUUACUGCAUCUGGAGUAGAAAUCAGUUCCACACAGCCAAUGAAGACCUGCCUGACAGCAGUCCCUGGAAACCCUGGUAAGAAAAUGGGCCACACCUCCUCGACUGCACUGGAUCCAACUUGCUCCAUUUCAAUGGACACUCUGGCCAAAGCUUCAGAUAUUGACUUCAAUCAAGUUGAGGAUUUCAAGCGAGAUCUUCUAUCAAGAGAAUCCCAUACUGGAUACAAUCCAUUACACUAACAUUUUCUUCCUACAGGACCCCACAGGGCUAUCAUCAUCCCAUUUCAGCAGGAAGUAACUUGGAGGAUGCUAUGACUCCUUUCCCCAUUGUUGUCACUUAGGAUAGUGUAUAUACCUAGUUAGGGAUAGCUUCCUAUUGUUUAUUGUUGGGAUUGGAAGGAGGUGUUCAGGCUUGGACACCUCUUUCAGAUGACUUUAGGGUUUAGUUAAAAUAGUUAGGAUGCGACAUAAGCAAAUUGUUGUAUCUUCUUAUAUUUUAAGUUUUAAUCCUCUUUUAGACUAAAAGGGGAAUUGUAGGGGAAGCUGUAGCCACGCCUACUUAGGGCCUGGCUACAGGUGUGCCUGACCACGCUUGCGAGGGCGUGGUCAGGGUGAUGUAGAGUGAGACUUUCAG